This is an RNA transcript of Cucurbita maxima (winter squash), 1403 nucleotides long. It is a transcript of the gene named universal stress protein YxiE, with no coding region annotated. Lineage: Eukaryota; Viridiplantae; Streptophyta; Magnoliopsida; Cucurbitales; Cucurbitaceae. The transcript has 7 exons. The record is from RefSeq and is a predicted model, not a curated record.
GCUUCACUUUCUGGGGUUUCACAGUUCUUCCUCUUCCACCCUUUGCAGAAAUGGCUGAAGCAAAGAAAUCAAACCCUGAUGUGGAGAAGAGGGUGAUGGUGGCCGUAGACGAGAGUGAGUGUAGCUACUAUGCUCUAAUCUGGGUACUGGAAAAUCUUAAACAAUCCAUUGCCGACUCGCCUCUUUUCGUCUUCACGGCUCUACCUCCGCCCACCAGUUAUACCUCCGGUGCCGGUGCCUCUCUCGGCCUCGCGCGAUCGUAUUUCCCUGUUGCAUCCAAUACGGAGUUGGCUCAUACGCUUCAAGAGAAUGAUAAGAAAGUUAGAUGCGGCAUCCUAGAGAAAGCAAAAGAUAUCUGUGCUGAAAGAGGGGUGGCUGCAAUAUCCAUCACAGAGGUUGGGGAACCUGGAAGGAUGAUAUGUGAUACAGUUGAAAAGCUCAAUAUAAAUUUGCUUGUUUUGGGUGAUCAUGGCAUUGGGAGAAUUAAGAGAGCUCUGAUCGGGAGUGUGAGCAACUACUGUGUUCAAAAUGCCAAGUGCCCUGUCCUUGUCGUGAAGAAACCAUAGGAAAAUGAGGCCUUUCCUUAGAGUAUAAACUUGAAGAAAAUCUGUCAACCAAAGAUGCUAUUCAAAACAGCUGCUAAUCUGACACCGCCUUGUGCCAACCGCAGAUUUUGCUUCCUGGUGUACCAGUGAACUUCAAUCGUGUUUCCUCCCUUGUCUUCAGCAAACCCAACAUGAAGAGGCUGCAUUUUAUGUCAAAAGCUGGGAAGUAUAGUUGUUAAUGGCCCCUGCAACGCACCGACCUUCCACUCCAUUUUCGUCUUUGCAAUCCCCUUUCGACCCAAACGAUAAAAAUUCAGAACCAGAAAGGUGAGAGAAAUUAGAACAACAGAAAGGGGAUACUCAACUGGCAUAUUGGUAAGUGCAAAGGGAUUCUGGAGUAUUAACAUAAUGAAGAGCCGAUGACCAUCGAUAUCGAAACUUGAUUCGAUCAGCCCAAAUACAAACGUUCGCUAAUUCACCAUUUGCAUACUCAGGCAACAGUCGCUGCACUGCAUCAGCUGCUGCUCUGCUCAACCGCGACUGUCGCAAGCAAAAACAAACAUCAAAUUCUUCAUCAAAGAGGUAAACAUGGGGGAAUUGGUUUCAAUGAAUGUGAAGAUCAAGAACCUGAGCGAUCUUGCAGAUGGUAAAAUGGCCAUCGAGGCCCCAACCAAAGCUAACAGGAAAGAUGAACACCAAGAACACUAGAAGACCUGCCAUGAAAGCUCUGCAGGGCUUCAUUUUUAUCUCCUGUUCUUGUUCUUCUGGUGAUUUGAUUCAUUUUUGUGUUUGAAUCUGUGCUUAAAUAGAGUGAUGAAUGCAAGAAAUCUCAGAAAGUAUGAACAGUAUAGAAAGGCA